AAAAAUUAAACUUAGCAAAAAUACCCACAAGAGGUGCUGUAUUAUAUGUACAAGCCUCUGUUUGCACAUAAUUUGCUCUGUCAUCAUUAAAUUCAUCUUGAUUGUCAGGCCCACCAACAAUUGCCCCAAUUAAAACAUUUGGGUUUGGCCCAUUUUUGUUGUACCAAUAAUCAUACCCUUGUGUACAUCCAAUAAAGCCUUUAUUCUCUCUAUAAGACACAAUUGAGGCCCCUCUAUGGUGUACUCUUUUUGGAUAAUUUGGCCCAAAACCCACUAGAUAACUCAUGUUU
RNAcentral lists this unclassified non-coding RNA (290 nucleotides) under Hevea brasiliensis (rubber tree). Lineage: Eukaryota; Viridiplantae; Streptophyta; Magnoliopsida; Malpighiales; Euphorbiaceae. The record is from RNAcentral.